RNAcentral lists this ribosomal RNA (606 nucleotides) under Starmerella sp. Its description in RNAcentral is "SSU rRNA". It matches the Rfam family "Eukaryotic small subunit ribosomal RNA", at positions 1156 to 1786 of the family's 1831-position model. The record is from RNAcentral. Lineage: Eukaryota; Fungi; Ascomycota; Dipodascomycetes; Dipodascales; Trichomonascaceae.
ACGGAAGGGCACCACCAGGAGUGGAGCCUGCGGCUUAAUUUGACUCAACACGGGGAAACUCACCAGGUCCAGACUUCUGUAGGAUUGACGCAUUGGCGAUGCUUCAUGAUUAGAAGGGUGGUGGUGCAUGGCCGUUCUUAGUUCGUGACGUAAGUUGUCUGCUUUAUUGCGAUAACGAGCGAGACCUCGGCCGCUAGUUGCCGGAACUCACAUUUUGUGGGUCUUCGGCUCUUAGCGGGACUACCGGAGACAAUUCGGGGGAGGUUCGAGGCAAUAACAGGUCUGUGAUGCCCUUAGACGUUCUGGGCCGCACGCGCGCUACACUGACGCAGCCAGCGAGUUUAAACCUUUUCCGAAAGGAAUGGGUAAUCUUGUUAAACUGCGUCGUGCUGGGGAUAGAGCUUUGCAAUUUUUGCUCUUGAACGAGGAAUUCCUAGUAAGCGCAAGUCAUCAACUUGCGUUGAUUACGUCCCUGCCCUUUGUACACACCGCCCGUCGUUACUACCGAUUGAAUGGCUUAGUGAGAUCCUAGGAGGAUAUGCGCACGAGGGCAACCUCUAGCGCGUGCCCAAAUUCGAUCAAACUUGGUCAUUUAGAGGAAGUAAG